RNAcentral lists this non-coding RNA (21 nucleotides) under Caenorhabditis elegans. Lineage: Eukaryota; Metazoa; Nematoda; Chromadorea; Rhabditida; Rhabditidae. The record is from RNAcentral.
UGUGGUGCAUCGAAUGUAUCU